CUUUGUGGUGCUAUUGAGAAUACCGAACAUAUCUUUUUUCAUUGCUCUUUGGCUAAAUUAAUUUGGAGUUGCAUUAGACUUUGGCUUCGUGCUAAUUGGAACCCCUCUUCUUUUGAGGAUCUACGGCGUUGUAUUAACUCGCUAGCAGGCCGGUCUAAGCGGGUCUUCAUGGUGGGUUGGGCUGCGAUUUGUUGGUCGCUAUGGACUACUAGAAACAAGUUCACUAUUGAACACAUUUUCCCGGCUAACCCAGUGAGUUGCUUAUUUAAAGCCAAUGUCUUUUUGCAGCAGUGGAGAUCAUUGACUAAGGAAGGGGACCUAGAGGCUUUCGACGAUAUGCUAUCUAAAAUGAAAUCUAUGGCUUCUUCCCUGCUGCGGCGCUCCAGGAGGUCGGAUCCCUAA
Molecule: ribosomal RNA, 402 nt
Filed under: Triticum aestivum (bread wheat)
Lineage: Eukaryota; Viridiplantae; Streptophyta; Magnoliopsida; Poales; Poaceae
Description: partial small subunit ribosomal RNA
Source: RNAcentral